UACGAAGGGGGCUAGCGUUGCUCGGAAUCACUGGGCGUAAAGCGCACGUAGGCGGAUCUUUAAGUCAGGGUGAAAUCCUGGAGCUCAACUCCAGAACUGCCUUUGAUACUGGGGAUCUCGAGUCCGGGAGAGGUGAGUGGAACUCCGAGUGUAGAGGUGAAAUUCGUAGAUAUUCGGAAGAACACCAGUGGCGAAGGCGGCUCACUGGCCCGGUACUGACGCUGAGGUGCGAAAGCGUGGGAGCAACAGG
RNAcentral lists this ribosomal RNA (250 nucleotides) under uncultured bacterium. Its description in RNAcentral is "partial 16S ribosomal RNA". It matches the Rfam family "Bacterial small subunit ribosomal RNA", at positions 524 to 776 of the family's 1533-position model. The record is from RNAcentral.